UAGCCCAGGUAUUUUAAGUAGAUUUAAUUAAGGGCUAAUUAUUUAUAUUAAAUUAAUUUACGAUGUUUUGGUAUAAGUUGACCGGAUUUUCUUCAAGAAAUUUAGUGUUUUAAGACAAAAGGAAAAUUAUGUUCUAUAAUGUAUUUGCUUAUAUGGUUUAAGAAUUAGUAUUUUUAGUUUAGAAAAAAAAAUGUAUUCUCCCUCAAUGUAGUUGAGGUGUCAAAAUAUAUUAACAUUUCAUGCUUUUAUCUCUCCUCUUCUCUGUCAUCAUGUCCAAACAAAAUGAGGACAACAAAACCCAAAUACUUGAGUUGUCAAAUUUCCAAUACUUAAUCUGAUGAGUUUAUAACUAGCAAAUCCAUCUUAAACUUCUUCUUAUUCAACACUAGAAAAUCAAAGAAACCCCAAUUCUCAGUUUUCAUUCUCGCAUCCUCUCAUUCACCGACAUCCCUCUCAAUCCUCUGUUCUGUCCGUCAAAUUCAAGCAGCAUACGCUCAUUUUUUGGUCUUUGUUCCUUUAUCAAAGUUGUAGAUCUCUUCGAGUUAUUGAAUUUAGGCUCAAAAAUUUCUUCAAUCGGAGUUCGGAGCUAGGAGUUAUGAUCUCUGGAAAUUGUAGUUGUUGCUGCCACUGUUGCAGCGUUUUUUCUCUCUCCUCUUCUUCGUGGAUGCUGCUGCCACGAGUGUGGUUGUUUCCGAGCCUUCGUGCUACUGCAUGUCGGUGAUGGCGUUGCAUAUGCCGGUAAUUGUCUGAUUUCAUUUGCCGUCAAUUUUAAUAUAGUUCUGAAAUUGAGUUCUUGAUUUUUAUUCUUUUGAUAUAUAAGAGAAGCAAAUGUAAAUUAUGUUCACUUAAGAUUGGAAGCUAUACCAUCCUUUGUUUUUAUCUCUUCUAAUUGUGAACAAGUUUAAGUAUGUUGAGUUUAUAAUUUAUUCUCGUUAGUUUAAGACUUUGAAAACAACAAUUUGAAUAUCAGUUGGUAAAUUAGUUUUGUCAAAUAUAUUUAAUUCUUAAUCUUGUUAUGAAAAUCAGAUAAGAUAAAAGUUUGUUCAACUUAAAGAUUAAAUUUUUCCUAUUUAUUUAAUGGGUUGGAUUGAGGUUUAUGAUUUGUAUUUAUAUUUCUUAAGUUAGUUUAUGAAAUCAAAUUUCAAUAAGCCAUGUUGUUUGAUAGUAUCCUCUGUGAAGUAGGAUGAGGUUAAUUGGAGUUAGAGAUUGAUAUAGUGAAGUGGAUUAGUAGAAUGGUUUGUAAAUAAGGAGUUGUGGGUAGUUCAUGAAAGAGGUUAGAAGGUAUGAGAAAGUUAUUUUCUUUAUCUAAUUGAUAGUAAGGAUGUUAAUUGUUGUUCAUAUUGUUGUGAGGUGAUUGUUGGAGAUUGAUAAAGAAUUUGGAAAUGUUGGACUCUUGAAGAUUAUUAUGGAAUUGAGCGUUCUUUGGGAGGAUGAAAAAGAGUUCAUUGUUAGUGAUCUUGCAGGUUCGUAUAUGGAAAGCUUGGAAUAGAGUAAAAGGAAGAAUUUAGGUAUCAAGGUUAUAAUUAGAUGUAAUGGUUCAGAGGUUGUAUUUAGGAUUAUUUAUCCUUAUUUGUGAAUAAAUUAUUAUAUUGCUUUGGAAGUCAAGCAAAGUAUUAUGUAAUAUGUUAUUUGGUUCUUGA
Beta vulgaris subsp. vulgaris (sugar beet) is the source of this 1640-nucleotide long non-coding RNA. RefSeq lists it as uncharacterized. The transcript has 2 exons. The record is from RefSeq and is a predicted model, not a curated record. Lineage: Eukaryota; Viridiplantae; Streptophyta; Magnoliopsida; Caryophyllales; Amaranthaceae.